This 388-nucleotide long non-coding RNA is filed under the name Homo sapiens (human). Its description in RNAcentral is "HSALNT0151557". Lineage: Eukaryota; Metazoa; Chordata; Mammalia; Primates; Hominidae. The record is from RNAcentral.
UCCCAGCCAGGCCGCCGAAUAAGACCAAGGUACAGAAUUGUGUGUUCUUCAUCUGGGCUUUUGUCCUGCCCAUACCCAGCAGGCACACAGCCCAUAAAGCAGGAAAAGGAACCAAGGUGAAGGAGGCAGAAACUCUGCAGCCAGCAAGGAGGAGGUGCUAUCUCCCUGCAGGACAAAUUCACCAAGAGCCUAGAGAGAUGAAGAGAGAUGCCAGGAAGAAGAGAGACGCCAGGAAACAGAAGCCCACAGCUGGCAGAGCUGGGGCCUAGCUGUGGUCACUCUGGAGCCUGCCCCGUGGUGUUUUUAUGAGUGGUGGAAAGAACAGUGACAAUAUGGAGCCCACAAAGGAAGCUCAAGCAGUAACAUAGCAAGAGGGAAGACAAUUCAA